Molecule: long non-coding RNA, 894 nt
Filed under: Monodelphis domestica (gray short-tailed opossum)
Lineage: Eukaryota; Metazoa; Chordata; Mammalia; Didelphimorphia; Didelphidae
Description: lncRNA (ENSMODG00000046974.1)
Source: RNAcentral
AAAUGGAUUGUGAGGCUGGCUGACCAGCUGGGUAGGGUCAGAAUAUUGAAGAAAUGAGAGGGAGAUGCAUGAGCAGUUUUCCUGAUGGGGAGGAAGGAAGACUUAAAUUGCAUACAUUUUGAUAAAGCAUUUUGGUGUCUGAGAGUCAGUUUGUCAACCUUUAUCUAUGAGGGACAGAGAGAUGGUGUAGUGGAUAGACCACUUGGCUUGGAAUCAGGAGGAUUUAUUUCCAUGAGUUCAAAUGUGACCUGAGACACUUACUAGCUAUGUAAACCUAGAUACUCCUUGGAAGAACAUCAAAUCACACAGGAAGAGGAAGCCUGAAUGGGUCAUGAACUAUUGCAGGAGGAAAUACUACAUUGUUGAGAUGAAGAAUACUUUCAAAUAGUGAAGCAUAUUAUAUCAGUUGUCUUUUUUUUCCUCUAGACUUUCUAGAAAGAAACCAUCAGAUAUAAUCUUUCUUUGCAUUUUUCUACUUGGGUAGUUAAGAGGUAAACCAUGUGGUACAUUCUAUUCUAAGACCAGAAGUUUGAUUUCCCUUUUUAAAAAUCCAUCAUAAACUCAGGAAAUAGAACAUUUUUUAUGAACAGGCAACAGCUUCCUUCCAACAAUUCCUCUUUAUUUCUUUAUUUCAAUCUCUUUGUAUUUCUGUUACUUGCAUUUUCUUUUCCUACAACUGCUUCCCAUUAUGUUUCUUUUUUUCUGUAACAUCUCUCUCUGUGACAAGAAACUUCUGAGAUUACUUUAAAGAAUGGCACAAUGAACUACCAAAAUUUCAGGAAAAAUUCCAUUCAAAUGAAGAUCUGAAGGUUCAUACCAGAGCAGCCAUUAUAAUAAUGAAUGAAUACAGGAUAAAAUUAAUGAAAAUAAACCAAAGAGAAAAUUGGGUUUGCA